UACGUAGGGGGCGAGCGUUGUCCGGAAUCAUUGGGCGUAAAGAGCGUGUAGGCGGCUUGUUAAGUCUUGCGUGAAAUCUCGGGGCUCAACCCCGAGCGGUCGUGAGAAACUGGCAGGCUAGAGUGCGGGAGAGGAGAGUGGAAUUCCUGGUGUAGCGGUGAAAUGCGCAGAUAUCAGGAAGAACACCCGUGGCGAAGGCGGCUCUCUGGAACGCAACUGACGCUGAGACGCGAAAGCGUGGGGAGCAAACAGG
This 253-nucleotide ribosomal RNA is filed under the name uncultured bacterium. RNAcentral describes it as "partial 16S ribosomal RNA". It matches the Rfam family "Bacterial small subunit ribosomal RNA", at positions 524 to 776 of the family's 1533-position model. The record is from RNAcentral.